Molecule: long non-coding RNA, 365 nt
Organism: Frankliniella occidentalis (western flower thrips)
Lineage: Eukaryota; Metazoa; Arthropoda; Insecta; Thysanoptera; Thripidae
Exons: 3
Source: RefSeq, a predicted model, not a curated record
CCCCUGGAAGUGGACGCAAGCACAUACCCAUACCCUGCAACGAGACUACUACGAGCAACAGUGGUGUUGUUUGUUGCGUGAAGAGUUCGUUGGCUUGUGGUUUUCGACUUCGCGGAGGUUGCGGAGGAAGACCGUCCAUGAGUUGCAUCUGCGCUUGACAUAUCAGCAACGCAGCCGUCAGCUGUCACCCAAUGUAUGCUGAGUGGGCGUCACAGCACACAGCAUGAGAAAUGGCCCCUUUUUCUCAUGAUCACAGGAAUGAAUCUGGUAUUCAGAUUUGCCCCAAGUCACCAGCAGAAACAAGCCAGCUACUUGAGGAAGACUUAAGUUUAUAAUGUUAGAAACAAUAAAGAAUUAAAAUACUA